Long non-coding RNA from Ictalurus punctatus (channel catfish), 1007 nucleotides. Lineage: Eukaryota; Metazoa; Chordata; Actinopteri; Siluriformes; Ictaluridae. The record is from Ensembl.
CUUCUGUGAGCGAAUAAACCAGACACGCAACUGAAACUGAACCAACCUCUGGGGAAGACGCUCUGAAAAGUGUGUCAGCAUCGGUUCAGUAAAAAAAGAAAAAGAACAAGAGGAACAAAAUUAAUCAGGUUAAUCACAGGCGCACACACACAGGCGCACACACAGGCGCACACACAGGCGCACACACAGGCGCACACACACAGGCGCACACACACAGGCGCACACACACAGGCGCACACACACAGGCGCACACACACAGGCGCACACACACAGGCGCACACACACACACAGGCACACACACACACAGGCACACACACACACAGGCACACACACACACAGGCACACACACACACAGGCACACACACACACAGGCACACACACACACAGACAGAGAAAGAGAGACAGCGAGAGAGGGUGACAGAGAGAGAGAGACAGACAGACAGGGCGACAGAGAGAGAUAGACAGAAAGAGAGAGAGAGGGUGACAGAGAGAGAGAGACAAACAGAAAGAGAGACAGAGAGAGCGAGCGAGAGAAGUUCAUGUUUCUCUUCUUGGAUACUGUCAUAGCAGUUAGACAGGUGUUCAUUAAGGAAGGACUAAUGAAGCCACUUAAAGCAUGUGUGAUAUGUUUCAGGUGCGCCUGUCAGAACAUCUGGACUUUUAAAAACAUCUGGAAAGAGAGUUAGAAGAUCCCAAAGGGGGGUAGAAGAACUGAAGUUCAUCUGCAUGCGACGUACACAGAGGCGCUGGUUAACACCCCAAGGCCUUUCCUCUUUCCAACCCCCCUCCACACACACACACACACACACACACACACACACACACACCAUACGCACGCACACAUGUACGCACACCCCGCUGAGAGACAAGGCCAGCUUUGAUUUCCCACAACAACAAAGGCAGCUUUCAGCGACGCUUUUCACAGCUUACAAAAGGAGAAACUCUACACACACUAAAGACCCACACUAGCUGAAAUGUACCAUGCCACACAAUAAGUUCUGCUUUUC